Molecule: long non-coding RNA, 434 nt
Filed under: Setaria italica (foxtail millet)
Lineage: Eukaryota; Viridiplantae; Streptophyta; Magnoliopsida; Poales; Poaceae
Description: long non-coding RNA (SITA_LNC004491)
Source: RNAcentral
ACGAGAAACAACAGAUUAAACACAAGUAACCAGCAACAAUUGAACGAGUAGGCACACAAAUUCAACAAAGACACUUAUUGAAAGAAUGUGCGAGGCUAAACGGUUGCUGGGACAAAGGAUCUAACCUGAAAAAAUUUGUUUUGGUUUUUGUGGACUGUAGGAAGGGAAAAACACUCGGUAAAACUCACCGAUCAACCUGGAAAGCUGAUACCACUUGAUAGAGUUGGAGUGCCCGAUCUUUCGGUGAGUGGAGAUAGAUUCGACUUGGUGGAAGUAGACCCUCACGAUCCGACUACGACGAGCGAACCCGAAGCGCCAAUGCAAUCGCUGAACCAACUCCCGAUGGUUACCAACCUCGCCGGUGCGAGAUCAGCCUGAUCACGAAGAUCGAUUCCUGUCCGCAAUCGAAGAACGAACAAGAACAAGAGGCGAGC